Long non-coding RNA from Clupea harengus (Atlantic herring), 309 nucleotides. RefSeq lists it as uncharacterized. The transcript is spliced from 3 exons. Lineage: Eukaryota; Metazoa; Chordata; Actinopteri; Clupeiformes; Clupeidae. The record is from RefSeq and is a predicted model, not a curated record.
GAGAAGUGACUCUGAUAGCCCACCAGAGGGCACUGUUGCUCCCUCUCCAUCUCAGCUCUCUCGCUCCCCAAAGUCACCCUUCCUGCCGCGUGCCUCUCGAGUGCUGCCCCCACCCACUGCAGGCCAAGAGAACGGGGAGGAGGCUUCACCGCAGUGGCUGAAAGAGCUCAAGUCUAAGAAGCGUUUGAGUCAGUAUGAAAAUGACAGCUAAGUCUCAGAAGCAGUUGCCUUAAAACUGGAGACUGCUGUACAUGAAAUCUCAAGACAGAAGCCUUAACCUUUGACCUGGAGUUGACAUGGAAUUCCGCU